This 11899-nucleotide long non-coding RNA is filed under the name Xyrichtys novacula (pearly razorfish). The record is from RNAcentral. Lineage: Eukaryota; Metazoa; Chordata; Actinopteri; Labriformes; Labridae.
UAUGAGGCUAACCCCAGGCCCGGCCGCUGUGCUGCAGGGUUAUCCAGUACAGGCCGGCCAGCAUUGGCCAAAGCCCCCUUGAAUAUUAGGCUGGAUAUAUAAGACUGCCCCCCUGCCCCCUGCUGCAUUGUUCAGCCUUAUUCUGCUCCCACAAUGGGACAUCACAGUUUGGAAGUAAUUUUCAAAAAGGGGAAGCCAAUCAAAAAUAAUGGCACUUAUUGUUUCUCUUUUGACACACAUUGCUGAGCGGCCUGCCCCUCCCUCUGCCGCAGCUUUCUCUGCCUGUGUCGCCCUAAACCCCGGGGUGCAUUCAUGUCCAUUAUACGGACAAAUUAAAUAAAACCCCGAAUGGGUCGGAGGGGAGCAGAGAGCCACACUGGCCGUCGUCUGCAGCGGUGUUAGGGUUAGGAGAGUUGGAGUCCGGGGAAAGGCUGGGGAGGGAAGAGGAAAGAGUGAAUUUAAGGGUAAAACUACAGAAAAGGAUUCAAAGAGAGUCAGGAGGGAAACAACUCUGAUGGAGGGGGUUGUGCAAGCAGUCUUGUUGCAGGAGGUCUUCUCUAAUUGGAUUCUUGGAGUACUGAAAAAUGUAGACCUGAUGUCGCAGCUCAUUAGCGGCAUUUAGCUUCUUGAUGGGAUAAAACAUACAUCUUGGGGAUCAUAACUGCAGAAGCAACAGAUCCUCUUUCAUCCUGGACUGUCUCAUAAACGUGCGGAUGUAUACUCUGUCACCUUGUUUGUUGGCUGUUCCUCUCCUUGGAUUGCUUGAGGCCUGCUCAAAGAGAGAAAGGUAUGUUACCGUUUACCAAAGAGGGAGGGUCUUCUCCUGGCAGGUGGUUGAGGCUCAUUGGCUCGCAGGAAUCAGCCAGAAUGUUUCACAUUUAACCGUAAAACUGGCCUCUUCUGAGUGUAGAAAAAUCAAAUUUACUUUUGCAUGGAGAAAUAAAAAAAAAAACGCUCACCAAGUCAUUCAAGAGUCGGUUAAAAACGAGAGAAGUGCAUCCAGGUCCAACCAAAGACAUGUCUGUGUAAUGGAGCUCUGUGGAUGAAGAAGUCAGGAGUGGAACAGGAAAAAAAAGAAAAAACAUCUUCAGUUUGAUAUUUUUUUAAAGGCAGGAGCUCCUGAGUACGACUGGUCUCACUGUUGGUCGUCUUAGUCUGAUAGAGUGGGGAUUCAUGCAUUGAUGUACGAUAAAAUAAACACGGCUGCAGAGAGAAUAAGUUUGCUGAUUAUACGGUUAAUAUCAUGAUUUUGAUGGUGAAACCAGACGUGUUUCAUUCAGAGCUGACUCAGUUAUUAUGAAAGUUAUCAAUCUCUAAAAGGUCAAAUUAACUGUGACGAAGAAACACAGUCUGGUGUUGCAGAAAUAAUGAGCAGGAGUGAUCUGAAACAGUUCGAGGAGACCUGCUCAUCAAUGAAAUGUUCACUUUCAUGUGAAAAUAGUAAAUAAGCAGGCUUCAAAUGUUCACGUCUUGUCCUGGUGUUUCCUGUGGUGUCCACUCCAUCAGGCUUCACCGUGGAUUCAGUGGAUUUUAGUCACUAAUUUUGAGCCCUGGGCCUGUUGCUGUAUUGUUUAUUUUUGUUUUUGGCCAAAGGAUAAUUCAGGAUUAUUAAGGUAAAAAAAUAAAUAAAACUUGCAUGCUUGAUAAGAUUUGGUGGGAUGGGUCUGAUUUGAGAGCUCUCAUGUGGAAGGGAGGGGUGGAGGCUGAGAGAGCAGCAGCAAAGUGUCGGCAGGCCAAAGCAGACAUUUGCCAAUUGGAUUUAGACCAACAAUCACUUAAUUCUUAGGCCCGGACUACACGUAUAUAGAUAUUUAUUUAUCCGGAUAUUUUUGUACUCCCGUCUAAAUAAAUGUAUCUGUCCACACGUGUUAGUUCUCAAAAAUAUCUGCGUCCACAAGUAGCCUUCAAACUCAAUCCUAUCUGGUGCCGCUUAAAAAAAAAUCAGGAACAAAGCUAACUGAUUGGCCGAUGAAUCGUAACAGCGUGAUGCGUCAUGCAUUGUUUGUGGAAGCUACGCUAGUGCGUCGGGUCCAUGUGACGGUGUGGCGGCUUUGACCCAAAACUUAGGCUUCUGGCGAACUUUAAAACGCCUAACGUUAACGUUACGAUUGAUCUCCAAUAAAAGUAUUGGGCGCAGCAGACGCCUCUGUGAGCUGGCUGACUGGUGGAUGUAAUUGUAUAAACCAAGGUUCACUUGAGAGGCUGAAAUUAGCCCCAAAAGGGCAAAACAAACGUAAAGAAUACCCUGUGUGUCCGCCAUCGUUGUUGUUGUUUUUCUUUUUAAUUCACAAGCUGCGGUUUGACGUCAUCGAUCCCUAAAAGUUCAACCACAUGAAUCCACUUAUACGGAUAUUUUUUUAUUUCUCCACUUGUUUUUCCGGAUUCAGAUUUAUCCGGUUUGAGUGUUCCAAACUCCCGUUUUGGUGUGGUAGGGAGGCCUAAUCGGACAUAAAUAUGUGCGGUUUGAAACAUAUCCACAUUCGUCUUGUUAACAGGAUUAGCUCGUCUUCCGCUGUCUAAAUCAUGAUGUUUAUUUAUGUGUCGUCGUUUGAUUUUGUAUUUCAGUGUUACAGACAUAUUUUAGUAGCCCUCUGGCUCACCAGAGUCCACACUAAAAAAAUUUGCAGAGGGGCGGAGCGAACCUUCCAGACAUUAAGCGAGAUAGAGUUUAAGAGGAACUCGAGGUUGAAGAAGAAAAGGUUGCUGAAGGAGGGAGAAAGGGCAGGUGGAGGAGGGUUCGCUCUUUGGGCUCUUUGAAAGCAGCAGAUCCUGACCGAGAGCUCGACCCCAUUUAGGAAGAGCGAGAGACAUGGAGCAGAAUGGGGAGAGAGAGAGAGAGAGAGAGAGACUCUUCACUUAAAGGUCCUCCACAGGACGUCCUCAUUCUUCCCAGAGCGCCACCUCCCCACAAACCCCCCAACUCUGGCCCAGGGGAUGAGGAAAAGCAGGGAAAAGGCCUCAUUUAGGACGAGUGGGGAGAGAGGGAGAGGGAGGACCCCCAUCAUCCUCUGAGGGGGGUCCUGAUAUCAAAACUUCCUCUCAGCAGGACGCAGAGAAAUGUCAGCAGAAGGAGAGCUUCGGUGUCUUUUAUGGUUGGAUUUGGGUAUCGAUUUAUGCUAGUAGAGGUUAUAAUCAAAACAUGUAACCUUUUCUGGAUUUUAAGAGCUGAAUUUAAAAGUGAGGGACCUCGUUUAACGGGAAGAAGAGAAGGAAGUGGAUUUUUCUUGAUCUUCAAAAUAUUCUCUAGCUAAUCUGAGUCACUUGAGUCGCGGCAGAAUUAAGCCCAUUUUUGAUUUGUAGUGUUUUUCACCAGCUUCUGUAUAAAGUCAGAUGUCAGACUGAUGAUCGAAUCACUAUCAUGAAACAAAGAGAAACUCUCUGGUUGUUGUUUUCUGGUUCGUGCUCCACAGACUUAUUUCUGAGGCGACAGCUGAAUCAGGACGCUGCUGGUCAGGCUGCGGCAGCGUCGGCUGUUUUGCACACACAGGUGUCAGCUCAGUGUGUUUAACCUCUCUAGUUGACAGUCAGCUGUUUUCUCUGCUGUUGUGCAAAAUCGGCAGAGUUGUGUGUUUGAGUGCGAGCAACACGAACUACAAGCCUGGAAAAUGACACAAAAAUAGAUGUGAACUAAAACAGAAUUAAAUAAAAUGUGAGUGUAUGUGAUGUUGAUUCUUCUUCUUCACCUUAUUGCCAUGGCUGCUUUUAUUUUAGUUAUUUCAUUUAUCAAAGUGACGAUCAUGACAGAACAUGACCGGCUUUUGAGUGAUUGUUUAAUGUGCUUAUCUGGUACUGGCCCUGGUUGUUGGUUUAUUUUCAGUUGUGUUUUGGAGUUGGUUUGUCUUUAUUUUUGCCUGUGAGGUGAUCUGAAGGGUCUUUUAUUCCUUAUUUGUAUAAUUUUCAGCAGAUAUUUUGAAACUGGACCUUUAUUCAGGUAAAGCUGUUGAGCUGUUACUGUGUGUAAAACUAAAGUCUGCAGCUCCAGAUGACUUUUACUUCAUUUAAACGCUCUUCUUAUUUGCAGAUAUCAUGUCUGAGAGGUUUAGUGUGAUACUGGGGUAUGUGUGUGUGUGCCUGUGUGCAUGUUUGUGUGUGUGUGUGUGUUUGAUCUGGCUGGGGCUGACUCUGUUCCCUCAGAGGGACUAUCAUUGCUGGUAAUCCUCUUCAUGGUCCACUAAUCUGUUUUUCCUGGGGUCACUCCAUCCCACUUCCCCCUCCCUCCUUUCCUUUCCUUUCCUUCUCUUCCUACCUCACCUCAGUUUCUUGUUCCCCUCCCUUUGCUCUGCAGUCACUCCUUUAUUGUUUCCUCCUGUCUUCGUCCGUCCCUCCCCUCAGUCUUCAGCUGUUUUAUCCCUCUUUAUCAGAACCCUUUGCUGUUUAUUAGACUAAGAAUCAAAGGUGUCAAAGGUUGAUCCUGAUCCAGACAAAAUUCCGGAUACUGUGAUCCAGAACACACAAAAUUAAGGGUGUUGUUGGAAUUUUCAAUGCUGAAAGAUAACCAAUGGGCGGCACAGUGGUGUAGAUGGGCAGCACAGUGGUGUAGUGGUUAGCACUGUCGCCUUACAGCAAGAAGGUCUUGGGUUCGAAUCCUGGUCAGGGCAUUUCUUGUUUUAGGAACAUUAUGAACAGUGAACAUACCAGUUUAAACACAAAUAAAAGUUAGUAAAAGACACGUAACAGUAAAAGUUUUGCUGUGAAUCACAAUAUAAGGGGGGACAUGAGCUGCUUGGCGGAGGUCUGCGCUCUCCGAGUGCUUUUCUAGUCGUCACUGAAGUUCUGAUAGAUGGUAUAACUGUUUUUGCAAAAACGCACGCUGUGGUCAGAGCUGACUGUAAGCAAGCAAACACAGCUGUUAAGAGUUCAGUGCGAUAAAUAAUGUCUCUGCAAGUGUUUGAAAAAAGCAGGCAGAGCAUCCAUCCAUUAGGACCUUAGGAUGUCUCUGCUCUGUUUUGAAGACAUAAAGCCUGUCUGUCUCGCACUAAUUUCAGAGCCGAACUGCCGGCUUCUUUCAGUGAUGAGAAAAUUGGUCUGUAAUUGUGAAAGUGCUCUGAGAGAGAUGCCGUUGAAAAUGACUGGCAGCCUUGUUUACAUUAUGCGCUGGAUGCUGGAUUGUCUUUUUCAUGAACUUGGAACAGAUCUGAAUGUGUAAGUGCCGUCCAGCUCAGAGAGAGUGUCUCGAGGUCGGUUCAGUCAGUGAGGGGCGCUGUCAGGACGCCGUAGCUGUGUUCGAAAUGAUGGAAUAAAUGCUCUUAAGGCUCCGGUGUGAGUGCAGGCUCGUCUGCCUGCAGCCCGGUCUGUCUAACAGACAGGAGAAACCCAUUAGCAGGGCUGUGUUAGCGAUCGUCUUGUAAACCGAGGCCCCGGGCAUUCAUUAGGCAUCAAUCAAAGGACGAGGUGUGAUGAUUAAAUGAUGAGUGCGAAUGCUUCACAGUGUUCGCUACACCAGGCCACUUUACUCUGACACUUGAAAAUGGAUGAGAGAAAGAUGUUGUUGGCCGUGUGUGCGGCUGCAGCUGGUUAAUUUAUUCAUGCAGUUAUUAAAGAAAGUGAAUCGUGGAACCUUGAAGUCAAAGCUCCAGGAUACCUUCAGCGCCGGUGCAGCAGCAGGAAUGCAGAGAGCUCACGUUGGCUUUCAGUGCUUAUUGUUUAACUGCUCUCCAUUUAGGAAUUUGCAGAUUCAAGGCUCAGAAAGGAUCAGUCGGUACGUUGCAGGUUGUGUCUUUUAGAAAAAUGUGACACCAGAAGUGAGUUUUAGAUUUGUACUGUUCGAGAAAUGUUAACAAUCCUGGAGGAAUCCACCUGUGAGAAAGUGGUUCACCGGGUUCAGGGUCAGAGGAAUGAAGAGGGAACUUUACAUGCUUUAAGUUUGAACAGCAACACUCGCACUCAGAGCCUGCAGCAGUCAAACCGGAACAUUAGCUCAAAAUCUUUAAAAGGACAGUAUCAGCCUGGUUUUUCACUAACGUUAGACCUUAUUUUACUCCUUCUGUCUUCAUCACACACAGUGGUCUAAACUAUCAGGCAGCCACAGGUGGAGAGAGGAGAGCUGGGAGGACACAGGUGUGAGUAUUAAUGUGUGUCUGUGUCUGUGUGCUCCUGCAGACAGCCUGAAGUAGGAACUCAGGGAGCUGCAGUUUCCAGCACUCCCACAUCAGCUUCAUUUCUCAAGUCUGGAGGCUGCUGGAGAUCUCUGGGAGAUAUAUGAAGAGGCGAGGGUCUCCUGUUUAAAAGAGUUUGGCUCUGUGGAAGGUCAGCACUCUUUGUUGGCUCUUUUGAGAUGUCUGUGUUUGAUGAGGCUGUCCUCCGAUCAUGACGCUCAUCCCUGAUCUUUGACUCCCAUCUUCUCUUUUUGGGUCCAGUCUUUUAAUCAUUUCGAUAGAAUCAGUGGAUGUCUGGGGGGGGCUUUUCUUUUCUACUGACACCUUUCAGAAAAUGUUAACCUGCACCGAGGACUGAUGACUGAGGGUACUUAGAUUAUUACUUAUGUUGUUGCUCUACAAACAGACAUGAAAUCCUUCUAUUUAAGGUCACCAGAUUACAAAGACAAAACCGUGUUUUAUGGCUGGGCGAUAAAACGAUAAAAUUAAUUCCACUCAGUAUCAAUAUAAAACCUGGUCAAUAUGCUUUCCAAUAGGUGGCAUUCUGACAUGUUUUGGUAGACUGUAUGAAUAGCCAAUGAAAAGGGGAGUCGCUCCAGGUCUCCGCCAGACCUCCGCCAAGCAGCUCAUGUCCCCCCUUAUAUUGUGAUUCACAGCAAAACUUUUACUGUUACGUGUCUUUUAUUAACUUUUAUUUGUGUUUAAACUGGUAUGUUCACUGUUCAUAAUGUUCCUAAAACAAGAAAUACCCUGACCAAGAUUCGAACCCAGGACCUUUUUGCUGUGAGGCGACAGUGCUAACCACUACACCACUGUGCCGCCUAUCUACACCACUGUGCCGCCCAUUGGUUAUUUUUCAACAUUGAAAAUUCCAACAACACCCUUAUUUUUGUGUGUUCUGGAUCCCAGUAUCCAGAAUUUUGUCUGGAUGUAAACAGCGAGCGCUACUGCCCCCAGCACAUCCUGUAGUGCACUGCAGUUAUAGAUGAGCAUGAGGCGCCAGCAUGUGAUUUUCAACAACAAUAACACGAUGCGUCGACGCUUGAGUUUUCUUGUCGAUGAAUUUUUCGUGUCGACGUGAUCGAUUACAUCGACUAAUUGUUGCAGCCCUACUUUGAGGUCUGUUUUCUCAGAUGUAAAGCGCAUUAUAAAUAAAAUGUGUUAUCAUUAUUAUUGUUAUUAUUAGUGUGUGAAAGGGUUGUUGGAGUGCGGUAUUAUGGUGCUUUAACCUUUAAAUAUUUACACUGAACAGUUACACACUGAGGCUCAUAAACAAUGUAAAUAGUGUUGAUUACUGUUUCAUUAUCAGCCAUGUGAAACUGCAGUCGUAUGUACUUGUUUUCUGAGCCCUCAGUGUGACACAUGUCAUAGCAUGCUGUUGUAUGUAUGUACUGUAUGAGCGCAUGUGUGUGUUGGAGCUCUGUGAGCGAGCCUGAACUCCAGUGGAGCUGACAGCUUGCUGUGACAGACAGCCUUAAACAAACCCGCUGUGUUGGCCGCUGCACAGGAGAAAUGCCUUUGAUUCUAUUAGGCCUCAGUGUGUGUGUGUGUGUGUGAGUGUGUGUGAGUGUACGAAUGUGUAAGUUGGCUUUGAAACCUCAGGACUAAUAACCCGGGGUGCUUUAAUCUGUUUCGUUAAUUUUUAAAAGAUUUAGGUUUGCUUUUAAAAUCAAUUAGAAGUCAUGAUUUAAUGCAUAAAAAUGUAUUUGGGGUCAAAUGUAAGUUUGACAAAGAGCGACUCGGUCCGUGAUGCAACAUCGACUUCCAAAAUGUACGUCAAAACUAAAGAACCAGGGAUCGUUAAGGUAAACCAAAUGGAUGCUAUGAAAAUGAAGUUUACAUUUGUGGCUAGAGAAGUUAUCAAAACUAAGCUAAAGCCAUGAUCUUAAAAUAUAGAAACUUCCAACGAAAAAUCGAGGGGGUGUCUUCCAUGUUUUUUGCUAAUGCUGGGAGAAACGCGGCAGUCACGUGAGCUAAAGUCCUCCCACAGAAAAGACUGGGCAGUCCCCAUGUUACAAUCUCAAGGCUGUUUUUGUAAAAUGUAGGUAUCACAUGUUUUGGGGUAAAACUGCGCUGGAAAGUGCACCAAUGAUUGACUGGUAGGUGACCAUGUUCUCUAACAACGCCAUUGUUUUGCUUAAUUUCUAACAGGUGCUGCUCUGCUGAAGAAACUUUGGGGACACAACCGAAAGAAGACAUUUCUUCUACGAAAGACACUCAAAACAUGCAGACAUGCAAAAUCUGCACGGCUGGUCUCUUUUCAGGCACAGGAUGUUUUGCAAAAACCACCACAUUAUAAACUAGAAAAGCACUCGGAGAGCGCAGACCUCCGCCAAGCAGCUCAUGUCCCACCUUAUAUUGUGAUUCACACCAAAACUUUUACUGUUACGUGUCUUUUAUGAACUUUUAUUUGUGUUUAAACUGGUAUGUUCACUGUUCAUAAAACAAGAAAUACCUUGACCAGGAUUCGAACCCAGGACCUUCUUGCUCUUCCACAGUGAUAAUCACUACACCACUGUACUGCCUAUCUACACCACUGUGCCGCCCAUUGGUUAUAUUUCAGCAUUGAAAAUUCCAACGACACCCUUAUUUUUGUGUGGAUCUCCAUGAUCCCAAUCAGCUGUACUACGAAGCCGGUUAUCAACUCGAUAACUGAAUCCAGGUGUGGCCACUUCAGAUCUGUGCCCGCACAUGUAAAAGAGGCGGGGUAAGCGGCACUGGACCAUUUUCCACAAUGGACAAAACGGCGAGAGCAUCGUAUUUCACAGCUGAGGAACAGGAUAUUAUCCUGCAUAAAUACGAGGAUCCAUGAUACAAUCACAGCGAGGCCGCCAGAGGGACUGCUGGCAAAAAAUCGCAGAUUGUGUCAAAGGUUAAGUCACUAUGAUGAAGAUAUGAAUGUGUCAUCACGAUGGCACGGAUAGAUGUCGCUACAUUUGUGCAUUCAGUAAUUUAUGGUCCCCAAAUGUGUUGUCAUUCACUGUUUGAUCACCAUCAUCAUCAUCGACCUCAUGAUUUCAGAUACAGAACGUCAUCUGGUAAAUCAAAUGGAUUUGAGCGAUCACGAAAAUAACAAUCCGAGCACCGACGUCCACAGGAUCCGGCCAAAGUGGGCAGGCCAUUUUCCAAGAGAACCGAUUGGUCAGUGGGCGGUCUUUAAUACCCGCUGAGCUCUUAUCCUCAAACAUAACCUGCUCCGGAGCAGGUUUGGCGUUCCGCGUAAGUUACCGGGGCAACGGACCCGGAUAAAAAGAGAUCCACCUUCAUAGUACGGAAAAUCCAGAAGUCAUCCAGAAGUUAUCUCGCUAAGACCAAAUCCAGGACAGGACAGUGGGCCUCGAGGACUGGACUUGAGAACCACGGCUUUAGACAGUGACGAAAUCCCUGUAUCGCCAUCAAAUCAAGAGAUGGGAAUAUUAUGUACCAACGCAGUGAUUUGCUCUUCAGUCCUCCUGAUCACUCCAGUCAACUUCUGGAGCUAAAACUGAUCCUGUUUCUAUUCACACCAACUGCAGAGAAAGAGGCGAGAGUGUCACAGUCUGAGCUAAAACAGAAUCUACAAGCCACUCAACCGCACAGCAUCCACCUGGUACACAGCAGCGAGAGGAAAAUCCAGUCCCUGCCAGCGUGCCAGGACAGUUUUCAACUCUCUGAGAGGGAAACACCUGACAGCUGCCACUCUGGGAGAAAAAUCCCAGAGGGCUGAAAAGAUCCUCCACAUGACGGGAAGCCAGCCGAGCGGGAGCAGAGCGGAAUACCAAACGACCAAAAAGCAUCUGGGGAAGGAGUAUGUGUCUGUUUUAGUGACUUCAACUCAUGGUCUAAAGGUCUUUGACCAUCACCUGAUCAUGUGACCAGAAGAAGAAGGGAUCACUGCUCAAACUCAGAAAAUCAAAUCAUCACAUCAGACAUCUUAAGCCUUUUUAGGUGACAGAGACCAAAUUUCUAAAGGUUUUUAUGCAACUCAUGCUCUUAUAUGAUAGUUGAAUAUUUUUACUUUUAAAGCUAAAUGAGGGAUUUCAGUUUUAUUAAAGCUCUAAACGAGAUAAAGAUUGGGUUCACUGUAACGAGUAUUUAUCAUCUUUAAAGCAUUAGAUCAUAAUGAAUUAACAUUAGAGUCAAUUUAAGUUUUGUUUUUGGUUUCCUAAUUAAAAUGUAGUUUCUGUUUUAUAGAAAUAAGGACAUGUAUUAUUAUUGUUGUUUUAAUUUGGCUGUUAUUCAUGUAUAAUAUAUCUUACACAAUUGUGAUAAGUUAAUACUGAGCUUAAACCAUUUAGAUUUACUGAACAAAUUAAAAAAGACAGCACACACACCUAAACAAACCAUAACCAAUACUACAGGGUAUAAAUAUAUACAAGUAUGAUUUGUUUGAUCUUAUCACUUAAAUGUUUUGCCAUUUGUACUUGUUCUGAUUUUAUUUCAUGUAUUGUUUAUUGACUUUUUCAAUUGGAUUAGGGCUGUCUGCAUGAACGCAUUAAUUCUGUUGUGAUACAGUCUAUAACAGCAGUUUUAAAUCAUGUGCCGUGUUUGCUCCCUCACAAAUGUAGCUUUAUCUAACAGAUAUCCUCAGGUUAGCCUGUGCUGACCUGUCUUAUGACUUAAUGUCACAUGGAACAAACUUUCACACAUGCAGGACCAAACUAGAACUCCUGACAAGUGUAAAUAAUGUCGCAUUAACCAGGAAUUACUGGACAUCAGUGACCGAGGCCCGGACUACACGUAUACAGAUAUUUAUUUAUCAGGAUAUUUUUGUUCUCCCGUCUAAAUAAAUGUAUCUGUCCACACGUGUUAGUUCUCAAAAAUAUCUGCGUCCACACGUAGCCUUCAAACUCAAUCCUAUCUGGUGCCGCUUAAAAAAUUCAGGAACAAAGCUACCUGAUUGGCCGAUGAAUCGUAACAGCAUGAUGCGUCAUGCAUUGGUUGCGAAAGCUACGCUAGUGCGUCGGGUCCAUGUGACGGUGUGGCGGCUAUAACGAAGCAGAUGCCUCUGUGAGCUGGCUGACUGGUGGAUGUAAGUGCAUAAAACAAGGUUCCCUUGAGAGGCUGAAAUUAGCCCCAAAAGGGCAAAACAAACGUAAAGAAUACCCUGUAUGUCCGCCAUCGUCGUUGUUGUUUCUUAUAUAUUUUUUUAUUUCUCCACUUGUUUUUCCGGAUUCAGAUUUAUCCGGUUUGAGUGUUCCAAACUUCCGUUUUGGUGAGGUAGGGAGGCCUAAUCGGACAUAAAUAUGUGCGGUUUGAAAUAUACCCGCAUUCGUGUAGUUGGGGCCUGAUUGGUCAUUUUCCUGUUCCUGAAUGUUUCUCAGUGUGUAACAAUCAUGAAAACAUUUGAUCCCUCUUAAGUUAAAUAUGUUUUAUGUUCAAUAAUAAGAUUAUUUCUGUUUGUUUUCUCUUAAAGCUCCUGUGAUUCACUUUCAGUCCAUGUUAAUUUUACAGACACUUCUUGCUUAUGUGCUGAUUUUGGACAGUCAAAUGUGUCAUUUAAUGUAAAUUCUUUGUGUGGAUAUUGUAAAAUAAGGCCUCUUUGUUCAGCUUCCUGGUUGACACCUACCCCCCCUUAGUACCCAUUUCAGAUACAAUAACGUACAUCAUAAAAAUGGUCAAUCUUGUAACAAAUAGUUUUAUUUGCUUUUGGAUAUAAUAAAGAUUGAUUUAUAUGAAUUUUAGCCUUUUUCAUUAAUGUCAAAAAACUUCCCACAGGAGCUUUAACUGGUUAUCCAGCGUAGUUUUCAAUGUUUAACAGCAUUAUCCUGUGAAAAUAAUAUAAUAAAGCAGCAUUUUUUUUUUGACAAAAUACAUAUUUUGAG